RNAcentral lists this ribosomal RNA (468 nucleotides) under uncultured bacterium. Its description in RNAcentral is "partial 16S ribosomal RNA". It matches the Rfam family "Bacterial small subunit ribosomal RNA", at positions 28 to 507 of the family's 1533-position model. The record is from RNAcentral.
GACGAACGCUGGCGGCGUGCUUAACACAUGCAAGUCGAACGGAAAGGCCCUGCUUUUGUGGGGUGCACGAGUGGCGAACGGGUGAGUAACACGUGAGUAACCUGCCCUUGACUUUGGGAUAACUUCAGGAAACUGGGGCUCAUAUCGGAUAGGAGCUCCUGCAGCAUGGUGGGGGUUGGAAAGUUUCGGCGGUUGGGGAUGGACUCGCGGCUUAUCGGCUUGUUGGUGGGGUAGUUGCUUACCAAGCCUUUGACGGGUAGCCGGCCUGAGAGGGUUACCGGCGACAUUGGGACUGCGAGACGGCGCAGACUCCUACGGGAGGCAGCGGUGGGGAAUAUUGCACAAUGGGCGGAAGCCUGAUGCAGCAACGCCGCGUGCGGGAUGACGGCCUUCGGGUUGUAAACCGCUUUCGCCUGUGACGAAGCGUGAGUGACGGUAAUGGGUAAAGAAGCACCGGCUAACUACGUG